RNAcentral lists this ribosomal RNA (451 nucleotides) under Paenibacillus sp. 5S2.A11. Its description in RNAcentral is "bacterial SSU rRNA". It matches the Rfam family "Bacterial small subunit ribosomal RNA", at positions 38 to 468 of the family's 1533-position model. Lineage: Bacteria; Bacillati; Bacillota; Bacilli; Caryophanales; Paenibacillaceae. The record is from RNAcentral.
GGCGGCAUGCCUAAUACAUGCAAGUCGAGCGGACUUGAUAAGAAGCUUGCUUCNCUGAUGGUUAGCGGCGGACGGGUGAGUAACACGUAGGCAACCUGCCCUCAAGUUUGGGACAACUACCGGAAACGGUAGCUAAUACCGAAUAAUUGUUUUCUUCGCCUGAAGGAAACUGGAAAGACGGAGCAAUCUGUCACUUGGGGAUGGGCCUGCGGCGCAUUAGCUAGUUGGUGAGGUAACGGCUCACCAAGGCGACGAUGCGUAGCCGACCUGAGAGGGUGAUCGGCCACACUGGGACUGAGACACGGCCCAGACUCCUACGGGAGGCAGCAGUAGGGAAUCUUCCGCAAUGGGCGAAAGCCUGACGGAGCAAUGCCGCGUGAGUGAUGAAGGUUUUCGGAUCGUAAAGCUCUGUUGCCAGGGAAGAACGCUUGGGAGAGUAACUGCUCUCAAG